CAGACCUGAGUGUGGCAGGACUACC
RNAcentral lists this ribosomal RNA (25 nucleotides) under Trypanosoma rangeli. Its description in RNAcentral is "partial 28S ribosomal RNA". Lineage: Eukaryota; Euglenozoa; Kinetoplastea; Trypanosomatida; Trypanosomatidae. The record is from RNAcentral.